UGGAUCCAGACUUUGAUUCUGGCUCAGGAUGAACGCUGGCGGCGUGCCUAACACAUGCAAGUCGAGCGAGAAGCUCUUGAACGAUUCUUCGGAAAAGUGAUAGAGUGGAAAGCGGCGGACGGGUGAGUAACGCGUAGGCAACCUGCCCUUUGCACAGGGAUAGCCAUUGGAAACGAUGAUUAAAACCUGAUAACACCAUUUUAUCACAUGGAAAGAUGGUCAAAGAUUUAUCGGCAAAGGAUGGGCCUGCGUCUGAUUAGCUAGUUGGUGAGGUAACGGCUCACCAAGGCGACGAUCAGUAGCCGACCUGAGAGGGUGAUCGGCCACAUUGGAACUGAGACACGGUCCAAACUCCUACGGGAGGCAGCAGUGGGGAAUAUUGCACAAUGGGCGAAAGCCUGAUGCAGCAACGCCGCGUGAAGGAAGAAGGCCUUCGGGUCGUAAACUUCUGUCCUUGGGGAAGAAGAACUGACGGUACCCAAGGAGGAAGCCCCGGCUAACUACGUGCCAGCAGCCGCGGUAAUACGUAGGGGGCAAGCGUUAUCCGGAAUUAUUGGGCGUAAAGAGUACGUAGGUGGCAACCUAAGCGCAGGGUUUAAGGCAAUGGCUUAACCAUUGUUCGCCCUGCGAACUGGGAUGCUUGAGUGCAGGAGAGGAAAGCGGAAUUCCUAGUGUAGCGGUGAAAUGCGUAGAUAUUAGGAGGAACACCAGUGGCGAAGGCGGCUUUCUGGACUGUAACUGACACUGAGGUACGAAAGCGUGGGGAGCAAACAGGAUUAGAUACCCUGGUAGUCCACGCCGUAAACGAUGAGCACUAGGUGUCGGGGUCGCAAGACUUCGGUGCCGUAGUUAACGCAUUAAGUGCUCCGCCUGGGGAGUACGCACGCAAGUGUGCAACUCAAAGGAAUUGACGGA
Molecule: ribosomal RNA, 915 nt
Filed under: uncultured Bacillota bacterium
Lineage: Bacteria; Bacillati; Bacillota
Description: bacterial SSU rRNA
Rfam family: Bacterial small subunit ribosomal RNA
Source: RNAcentral